GACAGAGGGUGCAAGCGUUGUUCGGAAUCAUUGGGCGUAAAGGGCGUGUAGGCGGUGGAGUGUGUCCUGUGUGAAAGCCCCCGGCUUAACUGGGGAAAGGCAUGGGAAACUACUUCACUUGAGUGCGAUAGGGGACAGCGGAAUUCCUAGUGUAGAGGUGAAAUUCGUAGAUACUAGGAGGAACACCUGCGGCGAAGGCGGCUGUCUGGCUCGUAACUGACGCUGAUACGCGAGAGCGUGGGUAGCAAACAGG
Molecule: ribosomal RNA, 253 nt
Filed under: uncultured bacterium
Lineage: Bacteria
Description: partial 16S ribosomal RNA
Rfam family: Bacterial small subunit ribosomal RNA
Source: RNAcentral